UAUAUCAGUAUACUUACAGUAUUUGUCGAUUUUGAAAAUGUAUGUUCAAUUUAAUUUUUCAAUAUUAUAGAUCAAAAACGGAUCAUAUUCACUAAUAUUAAAAUUCAGCACUGAAAGUUUAUUAUUGUACUUUUCAGUCCUAACUGGAUAGCGUUAGUGAUUGCAGUCAGCCUUGGGUCGGUAAUGGAUCUUUCAAAUGUCUGCCCUAUCAUUUUGUUGGUAGUUGAUUUCCCCACCAAGAUGAUAACGGGUAACGAGGAAUCAGGGUUCGAUUCCG
Molecule: non-coding RNA, 277 nt
Filed under: Schistosoma margrebowiei
Lineage: Eukaryota; Metazoa; Platyhelminthes; Trematoda; Strigeidida; Schistosomatidae
Description: Eukaryotic small subunit ribosomal RNA
Rfam family: Eukaryotic small subunit ribosomal RNA
Source: Rfam by way of RNAcentral